CCUACGGGAGGCCGCAGUGAGGAAUAUUGGUCAAUGGUCGGGAGACUGAACCAGCCAAGCCGCGUGAGGGAUGAAGGUACAGAGUAUCGUAACCCUCUUUUGUCAGGGCACAAAGGCGGGGACGUGUCCCCGGAUGAGUGUACCUGAAGAAAAAGCAUCGGCUAACUCCGUGCCAGCCGCCGCGGUCAUACGGAGAAUGCGAGGGUUAUCCGGUUUUAUGGGGUUUCAGGGGUGCGCAGGCGUUCUGUUAAGUCAGCGGUAAAAGCCCGGUGCUCAAACCCAGCCCGCCGGUGAAACUGGCAGUCUCGAGUUGGAGAGAAGUAUGCGGAAUGCGCGGUGUAGCGGGGAAAUGCAUAGAUAUCGCGCAGAACUCCGAUUGCGAAGGCAGCAUGCCGGCUCCACACUGACGCGGAGGCACGAAAGCGUGGGUAUCGAACAGGAUUAGAUACCCCAGUAGUC
Molecule: ribosomal RNA, 459 nt
Filed under: uncultured bacterium
Lineage: Bacteria
Description: partial 16S ribosomal RNA
Rfam family: Bacterial small subunit ribosomal RNA
Source: RNAcentral